UGCUGGUUGCAUACUCACUGACACAUUUCUUCAUCAUAACAAAUUACUUAAAUAUCUCAAAUCCCUUUUUGAACUGAUGAAACGCAAAUAGCACACCGAGGAAUUAUUUUGUAGGUGUUAAAAUGUAUGUUUUUUUAACAUAUUCAUUUUUAUGUUAACAUAUAGAUAGCUGUAACUACCUGUUAAGAUUAGGUUAUGUACACAUAACCUAUUUACUCAAUAUUAAUUAAAAUAUCUACGAUUUCUUUUAAAACACCUUCUAGAGUACGCCGAAUUGAAUUUUUAAUAAUUUACAUUCAUUAAUCUCAGCAAAAAGUACUCACUGGAUUUAAAAAAAUUAAUUUUAUAUCAACCUGUGGAUGGAAGGAUUUAUUACAAAUUUAUUAUGAGAAAGUUUACAAUCACCAUUUUAGUUCCAAAAGUCCAUCAAGCAGAUCUAUCCAAAUCUAACAAAAUUAUUUAGAAAUAACCUUAAACAAGGAGAAUUUUUUGGUAGUUAUGGCUGGGUACCAUCCAUGUUCAGUUUCUGGGUGUAAGGACAAAAAAUCUAGUCGACACUUAUUUCCAAAUCCAACAAAGCAGUCAGAGAGAUAUCAUGAAUGGGUUAAAGCUACUGGAAAUCUAAAAUUACUCACAUUAGAUCCCAAUAGAGUGUACAGAUCCUACAGAGUUUGUCAUAGGCAUUUUACUGAUAGUGAUAGAACUACAAAUAUGUAUUUAACAAAAACUUGUGUACCUUCAUUGUAUUUACCAGAGGCGAUUGAUUUAUCUAUUUCUAAUGAAAUUGAUCCUUUGGACACCACUUUGGAUGAAGAUGAUGUACCACUAAGUAAAAAGUUGCGUCUUUCACCUUCAAUGACUUCACCAUCAGAGACAUUACCAUUAUCAAUCAACAAGCCUAACAGUUUUGAACACAUAAUCAUAGAACCUCCUAUAUCACUAGCAUCAACAUUCAUAACAGAAGUUAAAAAAGAACAAGACUAUUCAUCAUCAGAGGAAGAUGAACAAAAUCAAAUAGAAACUAUAUCAACAGAUGACCUUGAAAAAUUGAUACAUUACUGGGAUGAGUUUCAGUCUUUAGCUAAAAAAUGGCACCCCAAUAAAACUGAUGUUAACAAAAUAUGUGACAUGGUUGAAGAUAAAUGUUUAAGUCAUUUUAAAGAGAUUAUAAGAAAAAGGCAGGUUCAAUCAGGUUUGGGGGAGUAUUUUUCUCCAUCAUAGGAACAACACAUUCACAUUGUAUAUCUUAAGCAUUUAUAUUGUCUGGAUACAACAUUAGUACAUUCACAGCUCAGAUUUUAACUGGCCAAAAAUUUGGCGAAUGCAAAAGUGGCUGUGAUAAUGGAAUUAAUAUAGAUUAUGAGGAAGAAUCUGUUAAAAGGGAUCAAAUAAAACUUUAAUUAAGUUUUAAAUAAAUAUAAUUUUAAAA
This is an RNA transcript of Onthophagus taurus, 1429 nucleotides long. RefSeq lists it as uncharacterized. NCBI's taxonomy places the organism in Eukaryota, Metazoa, Arthropoda, Insecta, Coleoptera, Scarabaeidae. The record is from RefSeq and is a predicted model, not a curated record.